This 1062-nucleotide ribosomal RNA is filed under the name uncultured Actinomycetes bacterium. RNAcentral describes it as "bacterial SSU rRNA". It matches the Rfam family "Bacterial small subunit ribosomal RNA", at positions 60 to 1118 of the family's 1533-position model. The record is from RNAcentral. Lineage: Bacteria; Bacillati; Actinomycetota; Actinomycetes.
AGUCGACGAGAAAGCCCUUCGGGGUUAGUAAAGUGGCGAACGGGUGAGUAACACGUGGGCAAUCUGCCCUUCGUUGGGGGACAACCGGGGGAAACCCCGGCUAAUACCCCGUAAGCUUGUCGGGUCACAUGGCCUGACAAGGAGAGGUAGCUUCGGCCAUCCGGCGAAGGAGGAGCCCGCGGUACAUUAGCUAGUUGGUGAGGUAACGGCUCACCAAGGCAACGAUGUAUAGCUGGUCUGAGAGGAUGAUCAGCCACACUGGGACUGAGACACGGCCCAGACUCCUACGGGAGGCAGCAGUCGGGAAUCUUACACAAUGGGCGAAAGCCUGAUGCAGCAACACCGUGUGAGCGAUGAAGGCCCUAGGGUCGUAAAGCUCUGUUUGCGAGGACGAAGGGCGAAGGGUUAAUAGCCCUUAGCCUGACGGUACUUGUACAGAAAGCCCCGGCUAACUACGUGCCAGCAGCCGCGGUAAUACGUAGGGGGCGAGCGUUGUCCGGAAUUAUUGGGCGUAAAGGGCGCGUAGGCGGCCCGGUAAGUCUGCUGUGAAACCUUGGGGCUCAACCCCAAGCGUGCAGUGGAUACUGCCAGGCUAGAGGAUGGUAGAGGCCAGUGGAAUUCCCGGUGUAGCGGUGAAAUGCGCAGAUAUCGGGAGGAACACCAGUAGCGAAGGCGGCUGGCUGGGCCAUUCCUGACGCUGAGGCGCGAAAGCUAGGGGAGCGAACAGGAUUAGAUACCCUGGUAGUCCUAGCCGUAAACGAUGAACACUAGGUGUGGGGGGAGUCGAAUCCCUCUGUGCCGAAGCCAACGCGUUAAGUGUUCCGCCUGGGGAGUACGGCCGCAAGGCUAAAACUCAAAAGAAUUGACGGGGGCCCGCACAAGCAGCGGAGCAUGUUCUUUAAUUCGAUGCAACGCGAAGAACCUUACCUGGGCUUGACAUGCAGCUGCAGCGCACGGAAACGUGUGACUUUCGAAGUGCUGCACAGGUGCUGCAUGCUGUCGUCAGCUCGUGUCGUGAGGGGUGGUAAGUCCCGCACCAAGCGCACCCCUGUCGUGGGUUGC